This 502-nucleotide unclassified non-coding RNA is filed under the name Hevea brasiliensis (rubber tree). The record is from RNAcentral. Lineage: Eukaryota; Viridiplantae; Streptophyta; Magnoliopsida; Malpighiales; Euphorbiaceae.
AGUUUUUUAUUAAGUUAAAAAAGAGAAAACACAUGGAAGGAAGGGAAUAUUGGGAAGUAAAAAGUUCUUGACUUCUGCAAGACAUGACUCUACUGUGUUAUUAGCUUAGGUCGGGUUGAAUUUCCAGUCUUCGGCUGGAGUUCAUCCUGAGGCCGAGGUUCUUUUCCUUAUCUGCAUUAACAAAAGUAUCUCCUUUUUCUGUCCAAGAGACUCAGCAAUCGACUCUGACUCGGUGUUCGACCACUGAAUGAGACAAAAACAAAACCAUAUUUAUUUAAUACACAUGCAUGCACAAAAUUAACCAUUUUGAUAUGGAAUAGUGUAACUGAUAAUGUUUUCUAUUGUAGAUUUUUUUUUUUUUGAUAAUUCAAGCUACAAAGAAACUGAAACAUUCUUAACAUUCUUGUAUUAUAGUUUUCUUCUUUCUUUGUUUAUUCAACAAAUUUCAUAGCUGUAAGAAAAUAUAACAUUAAAUUAUUGAAUGCAGAUGGAGAAAAGGAGU